CAUAUUAGGAGUGACUGCUUAGCCCGACCACUGCUUGAUGGCAGCGUUGGGCAUGGUCGGCAAUUAUUGCCUCUGACAAUGGUUCCGGAAAGCCAUCUGGUGGUCGAUAGUGAGUACUUACCAGUAGCUGGGCAUGUCUAAUGUCUGGUGUAAACACGUCCCUCAAGUCCCCGGUCAAGAAUUCUCUUAAGUGGGGAGUUUGUCUCAUUAAGCGACCGAUAUAGUUCGUGAAGUGAUUCAAGAUUAAUAGGAACCUAAAGGGAGCAAAGAAGCCAUGAACCAUGACGUACUGAUACAAAGGACUAACUUUGAUCACCCUUUGGCAAGAAAUUACAAGAGAAGUUCAUGGAAAUCGCUGUGCAAGACAGUUGCUGCAAAGCAGAAAACUGCAGUUUCAAAAUCAGCUUUUCGGGAACAGUUUUGGGGAGCGUUUCUUGCAUUCUUCCAACUACAUCUUUGCAAAUAGAGCCAUAAUCCUAAAUAUAUGAUGUUUUCAACAUGAAUGAAAGAACUAGUCAGAAGCGUUAAUGAGGCAGCAGGAAAUCAAGCUCAAAACAGGUUUCCUAAGAAGGCAGAAACGGUCAGCUUUUCAAGAAGCUUUUUGGGAGAUCUUUUCCGGCAAAUUACUGAAGUUUUUUAGAAGUUUAUUGAUUAUUCUAGACAACAUGAUGUCAUAGAUCAUGGAUAAUCAAGAACCAUCUGCUGGAAGCACGGCAAUAUCAAGUCAAUCCUUGUCUUAUAAUGGCCAUGUAAAAAAAUCUCUUAACCAAAAAACAAUCAGAAAAAUCAGGUGUUAAUUGAAAAAGUAAUUGGUCUGGGCUUCAGCUUCUGCUCAGAAGCGAGGCCCCGUAGGGCAAGUAUAAAAGAAGAGCCACCGAUGGAAGCUAGAGAUAGAGAUAGCGGCGAACCCUAAAAUCCCUAAGCUUUUUCUGCAGAGACGCAAUGGUUUCGGUGAAUGGUGUUAUGGCGAUGAUCGGCGCUGCAGGCGCCGGAAUGACUCUGUAUUUGACGUGUGAAGAAAUCUGUCGUAUCGUGAAGACGAGAGCAGAGAAAAGAGCAGAGAAAAGAAGGGCAACAGCACCAUCCCCCUUUGUCAACCUACAGUCACCGUCUGCUGUGAAGCCAUGAAUGAUGCUUCAUAACAAGGAGUCGAGAAGUCUCAUGUGCAGAGUUAUGAUUAGUUAGCAAGAGUGUUGGGUGUGUGUGUCCUGGAUGUCUUUUGGUUCUCGAAACUCAAAACUAUGUUUUUAUUUAUUAUUAUUGUAUAAACUCAAAAGUAUGAGGCUUGAUUCUCUUUUCCUGACAUUGUUAUAUUAAUGAUAAUUAGUGAUUAUGAUUAGUAAACAUCGUUCGUUAACCAA
Rosa chinensis is the source of this 1361-nucleotide long non-coding RNA. RefSeq lists it as uncharacterized. The transcript has 3 exons. NCBI's taxonomy places the organism in Eukaryota, Viridiplantae, Streptophyta, Magnoliopsida, Rosales, Rosaceae. The record is from RefSeq and is a predicted model, not a curated record.